CCUACGGGAGACAGCAGUAGGGAAUAUUGCUCAAUGGGGGAAAUCCUGAAGCAGCAACGCCGCGUGGAGGAUGAAGGUUUUCGGAUUGUAAACUCCUUUUGUUAGAGAAGAUAAUGACGGUAUCUAACGAAUAAGCACCGGCUAACUCCGUGCCAGCAGCCGCGGUAAUACGGCGGGUGCAAGCGUUAAUCGGAAUCACUGGGCGUAAAGGGCGCGUAGGCGGGAUAGCAAGUCAGAUGUGAAAUCCUAUGGCUUAACCAUAGAAGUGCAUUUGAAACUGUUAUUCUAGAGUAUGGGAGAGGUAGGUGGAAUUCGUGGUGUAGGGGUAAAAUCCGUAGAGAUCACGAGGAAUACUCAUUGCGAAGGCGACCUGCUAGAACAUAACUGACGCUGAUGCGCGAAAGCGUGGGGAGCAAACAGGAUUAGAUACCCCUGUAGUC
Molecule: ribosomal RNA, 440 nt
Filed under: uncultured bacterium
Lineage: Bacteria
Description: partial 16S ribosomal RNA
Rfam family: Bacterial small subunit ribosomal RNA
Source: RNAcentral